Molecule: ribosomal RNA, 468 nt
Filed under: uncultured bacterium
Lineage: Bacteria
Description: partial 16S ribosomal RNA
Rfam family: Bacterial small subunit ribosomal RNA
Source: RNAcentral
GACGAACGCUGGCGGCGUGCUUAACACAUGCAAGUCGAACGGAAAGGCCCUGCUUUUGUGGGGUGCUCGAGUGGCGAACGGGUGAGUAACACGUGAGUAACCUGUCCUUGACUUUGAGAUAACUUCAGGAAACUGGGGCUAAUACCGGAUAGGAGCUCCUGCUGCAUGGUGGGGGUUGGAAAGUUUCGGCGGUUGGGGAUGGACUCGCGGCUUAUCAGCUUGUUGGUGGGGUAGUGGCUUACCAAGGCUUUGACGGGUAGCCGGCCUGAGAGGGUGACCGGCCACAUUGGGACUGAGAUACGGCCCAGACUCCUACGGGAGGCAGCAGUGGGGAAUAUUGCACAAUGGGCGGAAGCCUGAUGCAGCAACGCCGCGUGCGGGAUGACGGCCUUCGGGUUGUAAACCGCUUUCGCCUGUGACGAAGCGUGAGUGACGGUAAUGGGUAAAGAAGCACCGGCUAACUACGUG